RNAcentral lists this transfer RNA (73 nucleotides) under Strongylocentrotus purpuratus (purple sea urchin). It matches the Rfam family "tRNA". From Rfam's summary of the family: Transfer RNA (tRNA) molecules are approximately 80 nucleotides in length. Their secondary structure includes four short double-helical elements and three loops (D, anti-codon, and T loops). Lineage: Eukaryota; Metazoa; Echinodermata; Echinoidea; Camarodonta; Strongylocentrotidae. The record is from Rfam by way of RNAcentral.
GGGAUGGUGGCUCAGUGGUUAGAGCGCCUGCCUCAUGAACGGGAGGUCGUGGGUUCGAACCCCGGCCGAGUCA